UAGAGUAGGUUCAGCUCCCUCACUGCUACAUUCCCUAGCAGUUAUUGCCCAGUUAUUGCUAGUCUAUCAGCCUUAUGGCUCACCCUGGCUGUUACACUCUCCCUUGUAUUCUGUUCCAAAGGGAUACAUUGACCAAUCAGGGAGUUUCUUCCCUCAGGCAGCCAGAACCUUCUAUCUCCUCCCAGAUGCAACCAAUAGCAACCCUUUAUAACUUUCCCUCCAAAACUCUGCAGCUGACAAUAUUUUUUAUCUCAGACAAGGCUGUAAGAGGUUGUUAUAUUUAAUCCUUGCAGAGCCUGGAAAAAGAACAAAAAUUACAAACCCUAAAACAGAGUGGAAAGGGGCCAUUCCUUCACAUCAAUGAAGAGAUUAUAGGCUUGCAUUCAGUUCUGGUUCAUUGCAGGGAGGGGGGGGGCGACCUUCUGAACCAGUGUAUGGGUACAGGUUCAGCUGGGCUCCCCAAUACCUUGCCCUGAAAUCAGCAGAUAUUGAUCACAAUCGUAUUCUUCUGGUGUUUGAAUACAGACCUCAUUUGAAAACUGCCUUCAUUCCCAAGGAGUACAUCCCAAAGUAACUGUUAUACAAUCUCCUUUACCAACUGAUAUGAUGGUCACUCUGAUCAAUGUCACUUAGGUACCAAGUGCUGAAAAUGUUUCCAUUUGAAGUCAGAAAUCAAAGGCUGCCAGAAACUGUACAUGAGGCAUCCUUAUAUUAUCCUUCUAAUUCCUCGAGAGGCUAGGCUGAGAAAUAAUUUGCUGAAGGCCACCUAGACAGUCUCCUGGUAGAAGGCUAAACUCAAAUUUUCUCUUUUUAAAAGCAUGUGGUACUGUUUUGAUGAGCUUGACUAUGAGCUCCAAUAAUGCAUGCAGGGCCAGUCUGGGAAGCCCAUCCUUCCUAUGAUAUUCUCACCACUGGGAUACAUGCCUGCGCAGGAAACCAAUCGGGAAGAUUCUAAAGCAAUGUGUGGCACUCCCAACUCCACCCACGGCAUGCAUGAGUCCAUUGACAUAGGCGGUCAGAGAAUCGUUCUCCUCUGUUCCUGGACCGCCAGAUGUCAGCAACUAUCAUAAGUGGAACUGGAGAGGUGAGAGAACAGGAAACAGAAAGUCUGUCAUCUUUACGAAAGGGACGAGACCUAUCAAAGUAAAAGGCUAAUGCCCAGCGUACAUCCAAUGUGUGCAGGGACUGCUCUAAGUCAGAUUGUGGGUUGUGGAAAAAAGCCAGCAGAACCACAUCCUGGAGGAUGGGGAAACUCGUGUUCACCUUUGGAAUAAAAUAUA
This is a long non-coding RNA of Hemicordylus capensis (graceful crag lizard), 1280 nucleotides long. RefSeq lists it as uncharacterized. The record is from RefSeq and is a predicted model, not a curated record. The transcript has 4 exons. NCBI's taxonomy places the organism in Eukaryota, Metazoa, Chordata, Lepidosauria, Squamata, Cordylidae.